ACGCCUAACACAUGCAAGUCGAGCGAGGUAGCAAUACCUAGCGGCAGACGGGUGAGUAACAUGUGGGAAUCUGCCUUUUGGUACGGAAUAACACGAGGAGACUUGUGCUAAUACCGGAUAAGCCCUUACGGGGAAAGUUUUAAUGCCAAAAGAUGAGCCCGCAUUUGAUUAGCUAGUUGGUAAGGUAAAAGCUUACCAAGGCGACAAUCAAUAGCUGAUUUGAGAGGAUGAUCAGCCACACUGGGACUGAGAUACGGCCCAGACUCC
This 267-nucleotide ribosomal RNA is filed under the name unidentified marine bacterioplankton. Its description in RNAcentral is "partial 16S ribosomal RNA". It matches the Rfam family "Bacterial small subunit ribosomal RNA", at positions 45 to 339 of the family's 1533-position model. The record is from RNAcentral.